This 1436-nucleotide ribosomal RNA is filed under the name Mycoplasmopsis arginini. RNAcentral describes it as "bacterial SSU rRNA". It matches the Rfam family "Bacterial small subunit ribosomal RNA". The record is from RNAcentral. Lineage: Bacteria; Bacillati; Mycoplasmatota; Mycoplasmoidales; Metamycoplasmataceae.
AGAGUUUGAUCCUGGCUCAGGAUGAACGCUGGCUGUGUGCCUAAUACAUGCAUGUCGAGCGAGGUUCUUUUGAACCUAGCGGCGAAUGGGUGAGUAACACGUGCUUAAUCUACCCUUUAGAUUGGAAUACACAAUGGAAACAUUGGCUAAUGCCGGAUACGCAUGGAAUCGCAUGAUUCCGUUGUGAAAGGAGCCUUUAAAGCUCCGCUAGAGGAUGAGGGUGCGGAACAUUAGUUAGUUGGUAGGGUAAUGGCCUACCAAGACUAUGAUGUUUAGCCGGGUCGAGAGACUGAACGGCCACAUUGGGACUGAGAUACGGCCCAAACUCCUACGGGAGGCAGCAGUAGGGAAUAUUCCACAAUGAGCGAAAGCUUGAUGGAGCGACACAGCGUGCACGAUGAAGGUCUUCGGAUUGUAAAGUGCUGUUAUAGGGAAAGAACACCUGGUUGAGGAAAUGCUUCCAGGCUGACGGUACCCUNGGCGUAAAGCGUUCGUAGGCUGUUUAUUAAGUCUGGAGUCAAAUCCCAGGGCUCAACCCUGGCUCGCUUUGGAUACUGAUAAACUAGAGUUAGAUAGAGGUAAGCGGAAUUCCAUGUGAAGCGGUGAAAUGCGUAGAUAUAUGGAAGAACACCAAAGGCGAAGGCAGCUUACUGGGUCUAUACUGACGCUGAGGGACGAAAGCGUGGGGAGCAAACAGGAUUAGAUACCCUGGUAGUCCACGCCGUAAACGAUGAUCAUUAGUCGGUGGAGAGUUCACUGACGCAGCUAACGCAUUAAAUGAUCCGCCUGAGUAGUAUGCUCGCAAGAGUGAAACUUAAAGGAAUUGACGGGGACCCGCACAAGCGGUGGAGCAUGUGGUUUAAUUUGAAGAUACGCGGAGAACCUUACCCACUCUUGACAUCCUUCGCAAUGCUAUAGAGAUAUAGCGGAGGUUAACGGAGUGACAGAUGGUGCAUGGUUGUCGUCAGCUCGUGUCGUGAGAUGUUUGGUCAAGUCCUGCAACGAGCGCAACCCCUAUCUUUAGUUACUAACGAGUUAUGUCGAGGACUCUAGAGAUACUGCCUGGGUAACUGGGAGGAAGGUGGGGAUGACGUCAAAUCAUCAUGCCUCUUACGAGUGGGGCAACACACGUGCUACAAUGGUCGGUACAAAGAGAAGCAAUAUGGCGACAUGGAGCAAAUCUCAAAAAGCCGAUCUCAGUUCGGAUUGGAGUCUGCAAUUCGACUCCAUGAAGUCGGAAUCGCUAGUAAUCGCAGAUCAGCUACGCUGCGGUGAAUACGUUCUCGGGUCUUGUACACACCGCCCGUCGCACCAUGGGAGCUGGUAAUACCCAAAGUCGGUUAGCUAACCUCGGAGGCGACCGCCUAAGGUAGGACUGGUGACUGGGGUGAAGUCGUAACAAGGUAUCCCUACGAGAACGUGGGGAUGGAUCACCU